This 579-nucleotide ribosomal RNA is filed under the name Enterobacter cloacae. RNAcentral describes it as "partial 23S ribosomal RNA". It matches the Rfam family "Bacterial large subunit ribosomal RNA", at positions 614 to 1194 of the family's 2925-position model. The record is from RNAcentral. Lineage: Bacteria; Pseudomonadati; Pseudomonadota; Gammaproteobacteria; Enterobacterales; Enterobacteriaceae. RNAcentral also lists the same sequence under 4 other names.
AAUGGGUCAGCGACUUAUAUUCUGUAGCAAGGUUAACCGUAUAGGGGAGCCGAAGGGAAACCGAGUCUUAACUGGGCGUUAAGUUGCAGGGUAUAGACCCGAAACCCGGUGAUCUAGCCAUGGGCAGGUUGAAGGUUGGGUAACACUAACUGGAGGACCGAACCGACUAAUGUUGAAAAAUUAGCGGAUGACCUGUGGCUGGGGGUGAAAGGCCAAUCAAACCGGGAGAUAGCUGGUUCUCCCCGAAAGCUAUUUAGGUAGCGCCUCGUGAACUCAUCUUCGGGGGUAGAGCACUGUUUCGGCUAGGGGGCCAUCCCGGCUUACCAACCCGAUGCAAACUACGAAUACCGAAGAAUGUUAUCACGGGAGACACACGGCGGGUGCUAACGUCCGUCGUGAAGAGGGAAACAACCCAGACCGCCAGCUAAGGUCCCAAAGUCAUGGUUAAGUGGGAAACGAUGUGGGAAGGCACAGACAGCCAGGAUGUUGGCUUAGAAGCAGCCAUCAUUUAAAGAAAGCGUAAUAGCUCACUGGUCGAGUCGGCCUGCGCGGAAGAUGUAACGGGGCUAAACCAUGCAC